UGGGGAAUCUUGCGCAAUGGGCGAAAGCCUGACGCAGCAACGCCGCGUGAGCGAAGACGGCCUUCGGGUUGUAAAGCUCUGUCAGGAGGGACGAAGCCACUCGGGUGAACAGCCCAGAGGGUGACGGUACCUCCACAGGAAGCCCCGGCUAACUACGUGCCAGCAGCCGCGGUAAUACGUAGGGGGCGAGCGUUGUCCGGAAUCAUUGGGCGUAAAGCGCGUGUAGGCGGCCGACCAAGUCCGGUGUGAAAGCUCAGGGCUCAACCCUGAGUCUGCACUGGAAACUGGCCGGCUUGAGUCCGGAAGAGGAGACUGGAAUUCCUGGUGUAGCGGUGAAAUGCGCAGAUAUCAGGAAGAACACCGGUGGCGAAGGCGGGUCUCUGGGACGGUACUGACGCUGAGACGCGAAAGCGUGGGGAGCAAACAGG
RNAcentral lists this ribosomal RNA (428 nucleotides) under uncultured bacterium. RNAcentral's name for it is "bacterial SSU rRNA". It matches the Rfam family "Bacterial small subunit ribosomal RNA", at positions 355 to 776 of the family's 1533-position model. The record is from RNAcentral.